This 523-nucleotide ribosomal RNA is filed under the name uncultured bacterium. RNAcentral describes it as "bacterial SSU rRNA". It matches the Rfam family "Bacterial small subunit ribosomal RNA", at positions 777 to 1297 of the family's 1533-position model. The record is from RNAcentral.
AAUAGAUACCCCGGUAGUCCACGCCGUAAACGAUGAGUGCUAAGUGUUAGAGGGUUUCCGCCCUUUAGUGCGUGCAGCUAACGCAUUAAGCACUCCGCCUGGGGAGUACGGCCGCAAGGCUGAAACUCAAAGGAAUUGACGGGGGCCCGCACAAGCGGUGGAGCAUGUGGUUUAAUUCGAAGCAACGCGAAGAACCUUACCAGGUCUUGACAUCCUCUGCCAACCCUAGAGAUAGGGCGUUCCCCUUCGGGGGACAGAGUGACAGGUGGUGCAUGGUUGUCGUCAGCUCGUGUCGUGAGAUGUUGGGUUAAGUCCCGCAACGAGCGCAACCCUUGAUCUUAGUUGCCAGCAUUCAGUUGGGCACUCUAAGGUGACUGCCGGUGACAAACCGGAGGAAGGUGGGGAUGACGUCAAAUCAUCAUGCCCCUUAUGACCUGGGCUACACACGUGCUACAAUGGAUGGUACAAAGAGCUGCGAACCCGCGAGGGUAAGCCAAUCUCAUAAAGCCAUUCUCAGUUCGGA